UACAGCGGGGGCGAGCGUUGUUCGGAAUUACUGGGCGUAAAGGGCGCGUAGGCGGCCUUCUAAGUCGAACGUGAAAUCCCCGGGCUCAACCCGGGAACUGCGUCCGAGACUGGCAGGCUUGAAUCCGGGAGAGGGAUGUGGAAUUCCAGGUGUAGCGGUGAAAUGCGUAGAUAUUAGGAAGAACACCAGUGGCGAAGGCGGCUCACUGGCCCGGUACUGACGCUCAUGUGCGAAAGCGUGGGGAGCAAACAGG
Molecule: ribosomal RNA, 253 nt
Filed under: uncultured bacterium
Lineage: Bacteria
Description: partial 16S ribosomal RNA
Rfam family: Bacterial small subunit ribosomal RNA
Source: RNAcentral